This is a long non-coding RNA of Hyla sarda, 348 nucleotides long. RefSeq lists it as uncharacterized. NCBI's taxonomy places the organism in Eukaryota, Metazoa, Chordata, Amphibia, Anura, Hylidae. The transcript is spliced from 3 exons. The record is from RefSeq and is a predicted model, not a curated record.
AGGGACCCCCCACAAUCUCAAGAACAGGAACCAAUGUCACGUUUUGGAAUGGAGCAGAAAGCUGCAAGGUUUCUGGUUACCACGUUGUGGAUCUGUCAUGUCACAUCACAAAAAAUCUUAUUGAUGCCCGUUUCUCUUGGCAUGAAAGAAGAGUAUGGUGGUGAACAAUCUGCUGAUACACUGUGCCGAAAUACAGAAUAGACAACAUCUGAAAUGUCCACACUACUGUCCACACAGAUAUUGAUACGUGAAUGCUGAAGACUACAUCAGAUUCGGUGGAUUGCGAUGAUGACCAGCAAUUUUUUUUUCAAUAAAAGAGUUAAUGAGGGCUGUGGGGGAGUGUUUUUU